This 482-nucleotide ribosomal RNA is filed under the name uncultured bacterium. Its description in RNAcentral is "partial 16S ribosomal RNA". It matches the Rfam family "Bacterial small subunit ribosomal RNA", at positions 28 to 523 of the family's 1533-position model. The record is from RNAcentral.
GACGAACGCUGGAGGCGUGCUUAACACAUGCAAGUCGAACGAUGAAAUGGAGCUUGCUCCAUGGAUUAGUGGCGAACGGGUGAGUAACACGUGAAUAACCUGCCCUUAAUUUUGGAAUAACCCAGGGAAACCUGGGCUAAUACCGGAUAAGUAAACCUGUGGCAUCACAUGGUUUUGGAAAGUUUUUCGAUUAAGGAUGGAUUCGCGGCCUAUUAGCUUGUUGGUGAGGUAAUGGCUCACCAAGGCGACGACGGGUAGCCGGCCUGAGAGGGUGAACGGCCACACUGGGACUGAGACACGGCACAGGCUCCUACGGGAGGCAGCAGUGGGGAAUAUUGCGCAAUGGACGAAAGUCUGACGCAGCGACGCCUCGUGAGGGACGAAGGUCUUCGGAUUGUAAACCUCUUUCAGCAGGGACGAAGCGAAAGUGACGGUACCUGCAGAAGAAGCACCGGCUAACUAUGUGCCAGCCGCCGCGGUAA